Solanum lycopersicum (tomato) is the source of this 1150-nucleotide long non-coding RNA. RefSeq lists it as uncharacterized. Lineage: Eukaryota; Viridiplantae; Streptophyta; Magnoliopsida; Solanales; Solanaceae. The record is from RefSeq and is a predicted model, not a curated record.
AAAAGCGCCCAAAACUUGACCCACCCCUUUCAGCUCUCCAACCCAGCUAUUCAUUAGUUGACCUGACUCAAUCUAGGUCACAAGAGAGGGUAGCGUUCCAGACGCUCUAACAUUUUCCCAAAGAAGAUAACAGCAGCAGAUGUGUGAACCCCACUUCGGAUCCCCGACGCACCCUUUCAUCCCACGCGAGCGCGCGUCGACGGAAAGCCAUCUGGAUACACUGUGAUUUCACUGCGUGAAAUGGAAGAUGAAGGACUGUCAGGCAUUCUAUUUCUUCUUGAUUUUCUGGAGCAGAUUGGUACGACGAACAGAUAGAGGUGGCUAAAUCUCAUUGUGUGUUCGUCCUUGCGAAGAAAUUAGACGCCACAGAUUGUUUGGCCGCUAGGCAACUGUACAAUUUCGCGCAGGUCUCCAGCCAAUAACUUUGGAGUAUUUUCUUGAUUUAAAAUGAAAAGACUAAGGGGGGAAUCUCGAUCUUACCCCCAAUUCCAUUUUUCAAAACCCUAGUUUUUCUCCUAUAUAAGAUUCACUGUGAAAACAAGGGGGGGAUUUUUUUUUGAGGUUUUUGUUUUCUCUUGAGUCUUGAUUUUUUUUCUUAAAACAAAAGGAGAUUUUAUGAUAUAAAGGGUUCGAGCAAAUACUUCAUAAUUAGAGGAGAUCUUCGGAGGCAGAUUUUGGAAUAUUUCUUGUUUAUCUCUGUUAAAACAGAGUAAAAAUCUUUGGAUUGGGAUUUCAAAUUUCUUAAAAUGAGAUAUUGAGAACAUUAGGGAGGAAGCAACAUGAAGUCAGUAAGUCCAAAGGAGUGAUAUUGUUCCUGCUUUUGUCAAUUUCUGUUUCGUCAUCCGAGUUCACCGUCUUUGCGUGUGGUUGUGAAGUCACUGCUUUCUUGUCCAUUCCGUCCUUGUUCGCUGCAUCGCAGAAGCUUGCCAAGAACUCACGUUACCCUUUGCAUUUCGAAAAGUCGGAGAGACUCAUUUUUUCUUACAUCUAGUCAAUCUAUCCAAACAGACGUACAAGUUCGAAGUUUCAUGAAGAUUGAAAAGGCCGAAAGUCGAUUAGAAGAUCCUAUUAAAUUUAUUAUGUUGUAUGCAUUUCGGGCAUAAGCCUUGUCGCCAAAUAAUAUUAUUUUGUAUUUAUUAUUUGUUUAAAC